RNAcentral lists this ribosomal RNA (460 nucleotides) under uncultured bacterium. Its description in RNAcentral is "partial 16S ribosomal RNA". It matches the Rfam family "Bacterial small subunit ribosomal RNA", at positions 338 to 795 of the family's 1533-position model. The record is from RNAcentral.
CCUACGGGUGGCAGCAGUGAGGAAUAUUGGUCAAUGGACGCAAGUCUGAACCAGCCAAGUAGCGUGAAGGAUGACUGCCCUAUGGGUUGUAAACUUCUUUUAUAUGGGAAUAAAAUGUUCCACGUGUGGGAUUUUGUAUGUACCAUAUGAAUAAGGAUCGGCUAACUCCGUGCCAGCAGCCGCGGUAAUACGGCGGUUCCGAGCGUUAUCCGGAUUUAUUGGGUUUAAAGGGAGCGUAGGUGGAUUUGUAAGUCAGUUGUGAAAGUUUGCGGCUCAACCGUAAAAUUGCAGUUGAAACUGGCAGUCUUGAGUACAGGAGAGGUAGGCGGAAGUCGUGGUGUAGCGGUGAAAUGCUUAGAUAUCACGAAGAACGCCGAUGGCGAAGGCAGCCCACGGGACUGCAACUGACACUGAGGCUCGAAAGUGUGGGUAUCAAACAGGAUUAGAUACCCGAGUAGUC